Molecule: ribosomal RNA, 460 nt
Filed under: uncultured bacterium
Lineage: Bacteria
Description: partial 16S ribosomal RNA
Rfam family: Bacterial small subunit ribosomal RNA
Source: RNAcentral
CCUACGGGUGGCAGCAGUGAGGAAUAUUGGUCAAUGGGCGGAAGCCUGAACCAGCCAAGUAGCGUGCAGGAUGACGGCCCUACGGGUUGUAAACUGCUUUUAUACGGGACUAACGCGCCUUACGUGUAGGGCUUUGCAUGUACCGUAGGAAUAAGGACCGGCUACUUCCGUGCCAGCAGCCGCGGUAAUACGGAAGGUCCGGGCGUUAUCCGGAUUUUUUGGGUUUAAAGGGAGCGUAGGCCGCAUGUCAAGCGUGCUGUGAAAGGUCCGGGCUAAACCCGGGCCGCGCAGUGCGAACUGGCGUGCUUGAGUCCGCGGAAAGCAGGCGGAAUGCGUGGUGUAGCGGUGAAAUGCUUAGAUAUGACGAAGAACCCCGAUUGCGAAGGCAGCUUGCUGCAGCGGAACUGACGCUGAUGCUCGAAAGCGCGGGUAUCGAACAGGAUUAGAUACCCGGGUAGUC